Molecule: non-coding RNA, 1322 nt
Organism: Arachis ipaensis
Lineage: Eukaryota; Viridiplantae; Streptophyta; Magnoliopsida; Fabales; Fabaceae
Source: RefSeq, a predicted model, not a curated record
AUUACUCACGCUUGGAAAUCAUAUCGAAAAAAGAGAGCCACAAUAUUCACUAACUAAAUCCAAUAAUAUAUUUUUAAUUACAAUAUGUUAACUAUUAUUUAAUCAUCAUCAUCACCUACUCAAGAUUCUAUGGAGCAACAAAAACCGCAACAAACACAAAGAUUGCAAAUUUACCCAAAUUCAAACAAUGGGGUCACGCCUUUUUGGAGAGGUACUCUUUCUUAUAAUGCUCUUGCUUGCAAACUUUCUGCACAAAAAAGCUUUUUUUUAGGGAUUUUGUUUAUUGGGUUCUACUUUGCAAAGAAGUAUGAAAGAGAAGCCAAGAGGUAUUGGGAUGUCUUCUACAAGUGCCACAAGGACAAGGUUGGUUGUGGAGCCGAAAAUACUAUAUUUCCAGUGAUAGCAUCUUAUCCAGAUGCUUUUGUUUAUGCAUGUGAUUUCUCGCCACGGGCUAUUGAGUUAGUUAAGACGCAUGAAGACUUCAAGGAGUCCUGUGUUAGAGCUUUUGUCUCUGAUUUGACAGUUGAUGAUUUGUGCAAAGAAAUUCUUCCAUCUUCGGUUGAUAUUGUUACCAUGAUAUUUAUGUUAUCAGCAGUGUCCCCGGAAAAGAUGCCUCUAGUAUUGCAAAAUGUUAGAAAAAUUAUCAAGCCAAAUGGAUAUGUGCUGUUCCGAGAUUAUGCCACGGAAGAUCUUGCCCAGGAAAGAUUUUCAGGGAAGGAUCAAAAGUUUAGUGACAACUUUUAUGUCAGAGGUGAUGGCACUGCGUUGGGUCCAAGCUGUAUUCCGGUUUACAGAGGAUUUGAACUCUUCUUCUAGUAACGAAGCUGAGGGAAAUCGUUCUGGUAGUUCUGAAGCGAAGCAAAAUAGUUCGAAUGGUAGUUUAAAUGACUCUGCAAUUGACUUGUCUGAAGGUGUGGCAUUUGACAUGUUUGGAGCCUUACCUUCCAGCGACUGAGAUUAUUGAGAUCAAACUUAGAGGUUGGAAUUUCAAGAUUAGAGUACUUUUAAAACAGUACCAGCAUACCUGCAAAUCGACGGGCUUAAUGCUGUGGGAAUCGGCUCGAUUGAUGGCUUCUGUCCUCGCCGAAAAACCCUGAUAUCGUUGCAGGGAAAAGGGUCUUGGAGUUGGGAAGUGGCUGUGGGGGAAUCUGUUCUAUGAUUGCUGCUAAACAUGCCGACCUAGUUGCUGCUACCGAUGGGAAUGCUCUUGCCCUCGAUCUCCUCGCCAAAAAUGUCUCAUCGAAUCUUGAGCCUCCAUUGCUAACCAAACUAAUUACAAAGAAACUGGAAUGGGGAAACAAUGAUCACAUAGAAGCCAUAAA